Molecule: non-coding RNA, 92 nt
Organism: Acanthosepion pharaonis
Lineage: Eukaryota; Metazoa; Mollusca; Cephalopoda; Sepiida; Sepiidae
Source: the annotation of a GenBank genome assembly
AGGGAAACCCAGGCUCUCGUCCGAUCACUGAAGUUAAGCACCUUCGAACCAAUCUGUACCGAGGUGGGUGACCGCUCGUGAAUAGUAAGUGU